Molecule: ribosomal RNA, 253 nt
Filed under: uncultured bacterium
Lineage: Bacteria
Description: partial 16S ribosomal RNA
Rfam family: Bacterial small subunit ribosomal RNA
Source: RNAcentral
UACGUAGGGCGCAAGCGUUGUCCGGAAUUAUUGGGCGUAAAGAGCUCGUAGGCGGCUUGUCACGUCGGGUGUGAAAGCCCGGGGCUUAACCCCGGGUCUGCAUUCGAUACGGGCUAGCUAGAGUGUGGUAGGGGAGAUCGGAAUUCCUGGUGUAGCGGUGAAAUGCGCAGAUAUCAGGAGGAACACCGGUGGCGAAGGCGGCACUCUGGGCCGGUACUGACGCUGAGACGCGAAAGCGUGGGGAGCAAACAGG